CAUCAGCCGCGGGAAUACGUAGGUGGCAAGCGUUGUCCGGAAUUAUUGGGCGUAAAGGGCUCGCAGGCGGUUUCUUAAGUCUGAUGUGAAAGCCCCCGGCUCAACCGGGGAGGGUCAUUGGAAACUGGGAAACUUGAGUGCAGAAGAGGAGAGUGGAAUUCCACGUGUAGCGGUGAAAUGCGUAGAGAUGUGGAGGAACACCAGUGGCGAAGGCGACUCUCUGGUCUGUAACUGACGCUGAGGAGCGAAAGCGUGGGGAGCAAACAGGAUUAGAUACCCCAGUAGUCCCUAUCUCUUAUAC
This 301-nucleotide ribosomal RNA is filed under the name uncultured bacterium. RNAcentral's name for it is "partial 16S ribosomal RNA". It matches the Rfam family "Bacterial small subunit ribosomal RNA", at positions 509 to 807 of the family's 1533-position model. The record is from RNAcentral.